RNAcentral lists this ribosomal RNA (119 nucleotides) under Pteropus alecto (black flying fox). The record is from RNAcentral. Lineage: Eukaryota; Metazoa; Chordata; Mammalia; Chiroptera; Pteropodidae.
GUCUACGGCCAUGCCACCCUGAAGGUGCCUAAUCUCGUCUGAGCUUGGAAGCUAAGCAGGGUCGGGCCUGGUUAGUACUUAGAUGGGAGACCAUCUUGGAAUAGCAGGUGCUGUAGGCG